RNAcentral lists this ribosomal RNA (181 nucleotides) under uncultured Tricholoma. Its description in RNAcentral is "partial 18S ribosomal RNA". It matches the Rfam family "Eukaryotic small subunit ribosomal RNA", at positions 1334 to 1536 of the family's 1831-position model. The record is from RNAcentral. Lineage: Eukaryota; Fungi; Basidiomycota; Agaricomycetes; Agaricales; Tricholomataceae.
AACGAGACCUUAACCUGCUAAAUAGCCUGGUCGGCUUUUGCUGGCUACUGGCUUCUUAGAGGGACUGUCAGCGUCUAGCUGACAGAAGUUUGAGGCAAUAACAGGUCUGUGAUGCCCUUAGAUGUUCUGGGCCGCACGCGCGCUACACUGACAGAGCCAGCGAGUUUUUCACCUUGGCCGG